AUUGAACGCUGGCGGCAGGCUUAACACAUGCAAGUCGCGCGGGGUGAUGGUGCUUGCACUAUCACUUAGCGGCGGACGGGUGAGUAAUGCUUAGGAAUCUGCCUAUUAGUGGGGGACAACCUCUCGAAAGGGAUGCUAAUACCGCAUACGUACUCCGGGAGAAAGCACGGGGUCACGUGUGCCCUUGCGCUAAUAGAUGAGCCUAAGUCGGAUUAGCUAGGUGGUGGGGGAAAGGCCUACCAAUGCGACGAUCUGGAGCGGGUCGGGGAGGAUAAUCCGCCACAAGGGGGCUGAGCCACGGCCCAGACUCCUACGGGAGGCAGCAGUGGGGAAUAUUGGACAAUGGGGGGAACCCUGAUCCAGCCAUGCCGCGGGUGUGAAGAAGGCCUUAUGGUUGUAAAGCACUUUAAGCGAGGAGGAGGCUCUUUUGGUUAAUACCCAAGAUGAGUGGACGUUACUCGCAGAAUAAGCACCGGCUAACUCUGUGCCAGCCGCCGCCGUAA
Molecule: ribosomal RNA, 503 nt
Filed under: uncultured bacterium
Lineage: Bacteria
Description: partial 16S ribosomal RNA
Rfam family: Bacterial small subunit ribosomal RNA
Source: RNAcentral